Molecule: ribosomal RNA, 469 nt
Filed under: uncultured bacterium
Lineage: Bacteria
Description: bacterial SSU rRNA
Rfam family: Bacterial small subunit ribosomal RNA
Source: RNAcentral
GAUGAACGCUGGCGGCGUGCUUAACACAUGCAAGUCGAACGGAGUUAUAAUGAAACCUAGUGAUUUAUAACUUAGUGGCGGACGGGUGAGUAACGCGUGGGUAACCUGCCUUGUACAGGGGGAUAACACUUAGAAAUAGGUGCUAAUACCGCAUAUGCGCACAGUAUCGCAUGAUACAGUGUGGAAAACUCUGGUGGUACAAGAUGGACCCGCGUCUGAUUAGCUAGUUGGUAAGGUAACGGCUUACCAAGGCGACGAUCAGUAGCCGGCCUGAGAGGGUGAACGGCCACAUUGGGACUGAGACACGGCCCAAACUCCUACGGGAGGCAGCAGUGGGGGAAUAUUGCGCAAUGGGGGAAACCCUGACGCAGCGACGCCGCGUGAGUGAAGAAGUAUUUCGGUAUGUAAAGCUCUAUCAGCGAGGAAGAUAAUGACGGUACUUGACUAAGAAGCCCCGGCUAACUACGUG